This is a non-coding RNA of Chrysemys picta bellii (western painted turtle), 268 nucleotides long. The record is from RefSeq and is a predicted model, not a curated record. NCBI's taxonomy places the organism in Eukaryota, Metazoa, Chordata, Testudines, Emydidae.
ACUUGUGCUCUUCCGGUCUGGGAUGAAUCCCAGUGGCUGCGAAACUUUCGCAUGCGGAAGGGAACUUUCCUGGAACUUUGUGAGUUGCUGUCCCCUGCCCUGAAGCGCAGUGACACCCGCUUGCGAGCUGCACUGAGUGUACAGAAGCGAGUGGCCAUAGCCCUCUGGAAGCUUGCAACGCCAGACAGCUACCGGUCAGUCGCGAACCAGUUUGGGGUGGGCAAAUCUACCGUGGGGGUUGUUGUGAUGCAAGUAGCGAAGGCAAUCG